GAGCUCUCCCAUAUGGUCGACCUGCAGGCGGCCGCGAAUUCACUAGUGAUUCGUAUUACCGCGGCUGCUGGCACAGAGUUAGCCGGUGCUUAUUCUCUCGGUCGCCAUGACAGCAACGUAUUAGGUUACUGCCCUUCCUCCCCUUAAAGUGCUUUACAAUCCGAAGACCUUCUUCACACACGCGGCAUGGCUGGAUCAGGCUUUCGCCCAUUGUCCAAUAUUCCCCACUGCCGCCUCCCGUAGGAGUCUGGACCGUGUCUCAGUUCCAGUGUGACUGGUCAUCCUCUCAGACCAGUUACGGAUCGUCGCCUUGGUGAGCCAUUACCUCACCAACUAGCUAAUCCGACCUAGGCUCAUCUGAUAGCGCAAGGCCCGAAGGUCCCCUGCUUUCUCCCGUAGGACGUAUGCGGUAUUAGCGUCCGUUUCCGAGCGUUAUCCACUACCAGGCAGAUUCCUAGGCAUUACUCACCCGUCCGCCGCUCUCAAGAGAAGCAAGCUUCUCUCUACCGCUCGACUUGCAUGUGUUAGGCCUGCCGCCAGCGUUCAAUCUGAGCCAUGAUCAAACUCUAAUCGAAUUCCCGCGGCCGCCAUGGCGGCCGGGAGCA
This 605-nucleotide ribosomal RNA is filed under the name uncultured Gammaproteobacteria bacterium. RNAcentral describes it as "partial 16S ribosomal RNA". The record is from RNAcentral. Lineage: Bacteria; Pseudomonadati; Pseudomonadota; Gammaproteobacteria.